GAACAAGUCAAAUAUGGUGGUAGCUUCCAAGUUUUUAAAAACUUAUUCAUAAAGGCCAAAAACAUUGCAGAUUAAUACAAUACAUUUUAAAUUCUUCACAGAACAAAAAAAGACUCAAUAAUGUCAAGAAGACUUCUGCUUAUAUUGUAGAAAAGCUAAAUACACUACCCAACAUUGUUAAAGGAAACAAUACAAUCACAAAAUGAGAAGUGUGGUUGCCAAAGAAGACAAUGUGUUAGAAAACAAGUUUCUCUAGCUAACAUAGAAAUCGUUGUCAUAAUAUAUGAAGUCUUACUCGAGAAUUCUCCAAGUACAUGAUUAAGGAAGGUCAAAUGAAAAUUGCAACAACAAAAUCCUAACUCUAAUAGAAUACUAAGUAAACUCUAAUUAGACCAUAACAAUGUUAAGCAAGCUUUAAUCAAAUUCAAAGAAACCUCAAAAGAAUUACAAAGAAAAAAUAAAAAAAACUUAAAAAAAUAUUAAAAUGCUCAGAAAUAUGUCUCAAGUAUAUCUCAAUUCAAUCUUAAUUUAAUCCUAGUUAAAAUCCUAUUGGACUUCAUUCAAACUUUAGGCCAAAAACUAACUAAAUCUUAAACCCUAAAUAAAUCCUAAUAAAAUCCUAAAUCCUAAAUCCUAAACCAAAUCCUAAAUAAAUCCUAAAUCUUAAUCUUAAAUCAAAUCCUAAUCAAAACUUAAAUCCUAAACCAAAUCCUAA
Molecule: long non-coding RNA, 715 nt
Filed under: Physcomitrium patens
Lineage: Eukaryota; Viridiplantae; Streptophyta; Bryopsida; Funariales; Funariaceae
Description: long non-coding RNA (PPAT_LNC000856)
Source: RNAcentral